This 522-nucleotide ribosomal RNA is filed under the name Abia cf. sericea Sus36. Its description in RNAcentral is "eukaryotic LSU rRNA". It matches the Rfam family "Eukaryotic large subunit ribosomal RNA", at positions 666 to 1138 of the family's 3401-position model. The record is from RNAcentral. Lineage: Eukaryota; Metazoa; Arthropoda; Insecta; Hymenoptera; Cimbicidae.
CCAAGGAGUCUAACAUGCGCGCGAGUCAUUGGGACGAGCAAGCCUAAAGGCGCAAUGAAAGUGAAGGUACGGCCAAGCGCCUGCCGAGGGAGGAUGGGCCGCGUCACGAUGCGGCCCCGCACUCCCGGGGCGUCUCGUUCUCAUUGCGAGAAGAGGCGCACCCAGAGCGUACACGUUGGGACCCGAAAGAUGGUGAACUAUGCCUGGUCAGGACGAAGUCAGGGGAAACCCUGAUGGAGGUCCGUAGCGAUUCUGACGUGCAAAUCGAUCGUCGGAACUGGGUAUAGGGGCGAAAGACUAAUCGAACCAUCUAGUAGCUGGUUCCCUCCGAAGUUUCCCUCAGGAUAGCUGGCACUCGCGUACAAAAUGUACAAGAGUCUCAUCCGGUAAAGCGAAUGAUUAGAGGCCUUGGGGCCGAAACGACCUCAACCUAUUCUCAAACUUUAAAUGGGUGAGAUCUCUGGCUUGCUUGAACUAUGAAGCCACGAGAUCUCGGAUCAGAGUGCCCAGUGGGCCACUUUU